CUACGGGCUGCUCCAGUGAGGAAUAUUGCACAAUGGGGGGAACCCUGAUGCAGCAACGCCGCGUGAGUGAUGAAGGUUUUCGGAUCGUAAAGCUCUGUCAGGUGGGAAGAACAGGUCUGUCCUGAAUAAGGUUGGACCUUGACGGUACCGCCAAAGGAAGCACCGGCUAACUCCGUGCCAGCAGCCGCGGUAAUACGGAGGGUGCAAGCGUUGUUCGGAAUUAUUGGGCGUAAAGCGCGUGUAGGCGGUUUGAUAAGUCAGGUGUGAAAGCCCUUGGCUCAACCGGGGAAUGUCAUCUGAAACUGUCAGACUUGAGUACGGGAGAGGAGAGCGGAAUUCCCGGUGUAGAGGUGAAAUUCGUAGAUAUCGGGAGGAACACCCGUGGCGAAGGCGGCUCUCUGGACCGAUACUGACGCUGAGACGCGAAAGCGUGGGGAGCAAACAGGAUUAGAUACCCCUGUAGUC
This 465-nucleotide ribosomal RNA is filed under the name uncultured bacterium. RNAcentral describes it as "partial 16S ribosomal RNA". It matches the Rfam family "Bacterial small subunit ribosomal RNA", at positions 339 to 795 of the family's 1533-position model. The record is from RNAcentral.